ACGCUGGCGGCGUGCCUAAUACAUGCAAGUCGAACGAGUUCUGAUUAUUGAAAGGUGCUUGCAUCUUGAUUUUAAUUUUGAACGAGUGGCGGACGGGUGAGUAACACGUGGGUAACCUGCCCUUAAGUGGGGGAUAACAUUUGGAAACAGAUGCUAAUACCGCAUAAAUCCAAGAACCGCAUGGUUCUUGGCUGAAAGAUGGCGUAAGCUAUCGCUUUUGGAUGGACCCGCGGCGUAUUAGCUAGUUGGUGAGGUAACGGCUCACCAAGGCAAUGAUACGUAGCCGAACUGAGAGGUUGAUCGGCCACAUUGGGACUGAGACACGGCCCAAACUCCUACGGGAGGCAGCAGUAGGGAAUCUUCCACAAUGGACGCAAGUCUGAUGGAGCAACGCCGCGUGAGUGAAGAAGGCUUUCGGGUCGUAAAACUCUGUUGUUGGAGAAGAAUGGUCGGCAGAGUAACUGUUGUCGGCGUGACGGUAUCCAACCAGGAAGCCACGGCUAACUACGUGCCAGCAGCCGCGGUAAUACGUAGGUGGCAAGCGUUAUCCGGAUUUAUUGGGCGUAAAGCGAGCGCAGGCGGUUUUUUAAGUCUGAUGUGAAAGCCCUCGGCUUAACCGAGGAAGUGCAUCGGAAACUGGGAAACUUGAGUGCAGAAGAGGACAGUGGAACUCCAUGUGUAGCGGUGAAAUGCGUAGAUAUAUGGAAGAACACCAGUGGCGAAGGCGGCUGUCCUGGUCUGUAACUGACGCUGAGGCUCGAAAGCAUGGGUAGCGAACAGGAUUAGAUACCCUGGUAGUCCAUGCCGUAAACGAUGAAUGCUAGGUGUUGGAGGGUUUCCGCCCUUCAGUGCCGCAGCUAACGCAUUAAGCAUUCCGCCUGGGGAGUACGACCGCAAGGUUGAAACUCAAAGGAAUUGACGGGGGCCCGCACAAGCGGUGGAGCAUGUGGUUUAAUUCGAAGCAACGCGAAGAACCUUACCAGGUCUUGACAUCUUUUGAUCACCUGAGAGAUCAGGUUUCCCCUUCGGGGGCAAAAUGACAGGUGGUGCAUGGUUGUCGUCAGCUCGUGUCGUGAGAUGUUGGGUUAAGUCCCGCAACGAGCGCAACCCUUAUGACUAGUUGCCAGCAUUUAGUUGGGCACUCUAGUAAGACUGCCGGUGACAAACCGGAGGAAGGUGGGGAUGACGUCAAAUCAUCAUGCCCCUUAUGACCUGGGCUACACACGUGCUACAAUGGAUGGUACAACGAGUUGCGAGACCGCGAGGUCAAGCUAAUCUCUUAAAGCCAUUCUCAGUUCGGACUGUAGGCUGCAACUCGCCUACACGAAGUCGGAAUCGCUAGUAAUCGCGGAUCAGCACGCCGCGGUGAAUACGUUCCCGGGCCUUGUACACACCGCCCGUCACACCAUGAGAGUUUGUAACACCCGAAGCCGGUGGCGUAACCCUUUUAGGGAGCGAGCCGUCUAAGGUGGGACAAAUGAUUAGGGUGAAG
RNAcentral lists this ribosomal RNA (1492 nucleotides) under uncultured organism. Its description in RNAcentral is "SSU rRNA". It matches the Rfam family "Bacterial small subunit ribosomal RNA". The record is from RNAcentral.